This 261-nucleotide ribosomal RNA is filed under the name uncultured bacterium. Its description in RNAcentral is "partial 16S ribosomal RNA". It matches the Rfam family "Bacterial small subunit ribosomal RNA", at positions 57 to 305 of the family's 1533-position model. The record is from RNAcentral.
GCAAGUCGAACGGACACGACCUAGUUUACUAGGUACGGUUAGUGGCAAACGGGUGAGUAAUAUAUAGGAAUCUGUCUUAUAGUAAAGAAUAACAUAUGGAAACAUAUGCUAAUACUGUAUAACAUCGGUAACUUAGUUGUUAUCGAGAAAGGUUUAGACUUCGGUUUAAGCCGCUAUUAGAGGAGCCUAUAUCGGAUUAGUUAGUUGGUAGGGUAAAGGCCUACCAAGACUGUGAUCUGUAGCUGGUCUGAGAGGAUGAUC